UACAGAGGUCCCAAGCGUUGUUCGGAUUCACUGGGCGCAAAGGGUGCGUAGGCGGUCGGGUAAGUCUGACGUGAAAUCUUCAAGCUCAACUUGGAAACUGCGUCCGAUACUAUUCGGCUAGAGGAAUGGAGGGGAGACUGGAAUACUUGGUGUAGCAGUGAAAUGCGUAGAUAUCAAGUGGAACACCAGUGGCGAAGGCGAGUCUCUGGACAUUUCCUGACGCUGAGGCACGAAAGCCAGGGGAGCAAACGGG
RNAcentral lists this ribosomal RNA (253 nucleotides) under uncultured bacterium. Its description in RNAcentral is "partial 16S ribosomal RNA". It matches the Rfam family "Bacterial small subunit ribosomal RNA", at positions 524 to 776 of the family's 1533-position model. The record is from RNAcentral.